AGUUACUCUAUUUUAGAAUGAAAUAUAAAGGAAAUUAUAGAGUAUGAUUGGAGAUGGUCUAACACAUGCGAGAAAAUCGUACAUUUUGGUUUUUGUUUUUGUUAAGUGGAAAAGUGAUUGUGUUUCUUGACCUAUAUUUGUGACACAAAGAACCUUAAUACAUUAUUGCUUUCACCCGAAAUAAAAUAAAGUUUAUUGAUUUAACAACAUUUCUUGUUUUAAAAGAGAGUGAAGAAAAAGUAGAGAUGGCCCAAAAAGAUACUAAACGAAGAAAGUUGCAGAAGAAGAGUCACACGCUUCCAAAGUUCUACUAGCCAUCAAAACCGCCUGCAAGUUUCCUCCCAUGUGCUCUCU
This 354-nucleotide long non-coding RNA is filed under the name Brassica napus (rape). RNAcentral describes it as "long non-coding RNA (BNAP_LNC005593)". Lineage: Eukaryota; Viridiplantae; Streptophyta; Magnoliopsida; Brassicales; Brassicaceae. The record is from RNAcentral.